UGGAGCUCCUACAAUAUUUCGAAUUGCGAUGGGUUUCGUACCGCUCAUGCUUCCAUCUAUACAUGGAAGAAUUAUUGAGGCAACAAGAAACUGCUUCUGCGAGAACAUUAAACAGCGAGACUCUUCAACAGAGUUACUUGAAAAGUUAAAGAAGCUUGAUCCUGGACUCGGCGAGAUGAACAAUGGAUCGUCAGCAAGGUUGAGCCGAAUUUCGGAUGAUUACACCGCGCUCUUGCGAGUGAUAAACUCCACAGUUGGAAAAGAGCCGGAAGACGUGCAACUGGCUGUGGCAUGGGUCAUAAAAAACCGCGGGGAUCAGGAUCGUGCCGAAUGGGGUGGCGGUUCCAUCGCCUCGGUGUGUGGCCAUCUGGAGUCGCUCGGGAGUUUUAAAAACGAUACCGCCGAGUUACACGAUGCGAAUUCUCAAAAGAAAACUGAAAGCUGGCUGGAGAGGGCGUACGACCGCCCGGAUCCUACGGAAGGAGCCGUGUACUUUACCAAAAAGAAAAACGAAACACAACGGUCACUGUGUAAAAUUGCGGGAUACUGGUUCCAAACGGAACUGGAGUAAGAAAAAAGUGAAAGUUAGCAGAUACAUGUCCUACUUUUUUCGUACUAAUGUUUCAAGUUUUUCACUAGCCUAGCGAUCAUACGUACAUGUAUGUACUUUGAAUUUUUUAUUACUUCAAACCAUCAUUAUAUAAAAAUGUAUCAAAUGCAAUUAGAAAAACAAAAGCUCGUUAAAUAACUCAGCUUUCUCCACGGUGCUCAUGGCUGAAACUGCGCCACCCCG
Molecule: RNA transcript, 793 nt
Organism: Paramacrobiotus metropolitanus
Lineage: Eukaryota; Metazoa; Tardigrada; Eutardigrada; Parachela; Macrobiotidae
Exons: 3
Source: RefSeq, a predicted model, not a curated record